GACGGAGGGUGCAAGCGUUAAUCGGAAUUACUGGGCGUAAAGCGCACGCAGGCGGUCUAUUAAGUCGGAUGUGAAAUCCCAGGGCUUAACCUGGGAACUGCAGCCGAAACUGGCAGGCUAGAGUAUGGUAGAGGGGGGUAGAAUUCCAGGUGUAGCGGUGAAAUGCGUAGAGAUCUGGAGGAAUACCGGUGGCGAAGGCGGCCCCCUGGACAAAGACUGACGCUCAGGUGCGAAAGCGUGGGGAGCAAACAGG
Molecule: unclassified non-coding RNA, 253 nt
Filed under: uncultured Enterobacteriaceae bacterium
Lineage: Bacteria; Pseudomonadati; Pseudomonadota; Gammaproteobacteria; Enterobacterales; Enterobacteriaceae
Description: contains 16S-23S intergenic spacer region
Rfam family: Bacterial small subunit ribosomal RNA
Source: RNAcentral